GAGAGAGUUCAAGAGUACGUGAAACCGUUCAGGGGUAAGCGGAAAAGACCCGAAAGUUCGAACGGGGAGAUUCACGCUCUCACGUCCCGCAAGCACUGCCGCCUGCCGGACUAACCACACGUUCGGACCGACCGCGCUUCGGUGCGGGCGGCGAGAACUGACUGUUGGCUUGGCCUACGGCGGUAAGAGGCGGCGGUGGGCCGCAUUUCUCCCUCAGUAGGACGUCGCGACCCGUUGGGUUUGCGGCCUACGGCCCCGGACGGAGACCGGCGGUCGCACGGACUUCGGUCCAUCAGUGCGUUGCCGUCCGGACCCCGGGUGUCCCGGCCGAACGCCCGACGGUAUAUCAUGCAGGUGUUGAGCCGCCGAAAGGCGCCCUUGGCCGGUCGCAAGCGUGAUCGAGUUUCGGCGAUCUCGGACCCAUGGUCCGACUCCCGUACCGAUCCGCUGUUGGCGCGCCGUGUCCUCGGGCCGGUGCAGAACACCGGACUGCGACGCUUCAGCUUUGGGUACUUAUCCGACCCGUCUUGAAACACGGACCAAGGAGUCUAACAUGUGCGCGAGUCAUUGGGUGAAAAACCUAAAGGCGAAAUGAAAUUGAAAGCUGUAGCUUUUUUCAACCUAGGGAGGAUGAGCGUGUCUUGCCCAAUAGGCGGCGCUCCGCACUCCCGGGGCGUCUCAUUCUCAUUGCGAGACGAGGCGCACCCAGAGCGUACACGUUGGGACCCGAAAGAUGGUGAACUAUGCCUGGCCAGGACGAAGUCAGGGGAAACCCUGAUGGAGGUCCGUAGCGAUUCUGACGUGCAAAUCGAUCGUCGGAGCUGGGUAUAGGGGCGAAAGACUAAUCGAACCAUCUAGUAGCUGGUUCCCUCCGAAGUUUCCCUCAGGAUAGCUGGUGCUCAGGGAACAAGAAUCUCAUGCGGUAAAGCGAAUGAUUAGAGGCCUUGGGGCCGAAACGACCUCAACCUAUUCUCAAACUUUAAAUGGGUGAGAUCUCCGGCAUUCUUGGACAUUUGUAAAUGAUGCCGGAGUCUCGGAUCCAGAGUACCAAGUGGGCCAAUUUUGGUAAGCAGAACUGGCGCUGUGGGAUGAACCAAACGCAGAGUUAAGGCGCCUAAACGACGCUCAUGGGAAACCAUGAAAGGCGUUGGUUGCUUAAGACAGCAGGACGGUGGCCAUGGAAGUCGGAAUCCGCUAAGGAGUGUGUAACAACUCACCUGCCGAAGCAACUAGCCCUGAAAAUGGAUGGCGCUGUAGCGUCGUGCCUAUACUCUGCCGUCAACGGCACAGGGGGCGGCACACUAGCGUGUGUCGGGCCGUUAUGCCUUGACGAGUAGGAGGGUCGCGGCGAUGUGCGCAGAAGGGUCUGGGCGUGAGCCUGCCUGGAGCCAUCGUCGGCGC
This 1401-nucleotide ribosomal RNA is filed under the name Cosmoscarta sp. C21 JL-2010. RNAcentral's name for it is "eukaryotic LSU rRNA". It matches the Rfam family "Eukaryotic large subunit ribosomal RNA", at positions 381 to 1445 of the family's 3401-position model. The record is from RNAcentral. Lineage: Eukaryota; Metazoa; Arthropoda; Insecta; Hemiptera; Cercopidae.